This 253-nucleotide ribosomal RNA is filed under the name uncultured bacterium. Its description in RNAcentral is "partial 16S ribosomal RNA". It matches the Rfam family "Bacterial small subunit ribosomal RNA", at positions 524 to 776 of the family's 1533-position model. The record is from RNAcentral.
UACGUAGGGUGCGAGCGUUGUCCGGAAUUAUUGGGCGUAAAGAGCUUGUAGGCGGUUUGUCGCGUCUGCUGUGAAAUCUCAAGGCUCAACCUCGAGCUUGCAGUGGGUACGGGCAGACUAGAGUGUGGUAGGGGAGACUGGAAUUCCUGGUGUAGCGGUGAAAUGCGCAGAUAUCAGGAGGAACACCGAUGGCGAAGGCAGGUCUCUGGGCCACUACUGACGCUGAGAAGCGAAAGCAUGGGGAGCGAACAGG